RNAcentral lists this ribosomal RNA (108 nucleotides) under Parcubacteria group bacterium ADurb.Bin316. The record is from RNAcentral.
UGGUGGUCCUAGCGAAGAGGUCACACCUGAUCCCAUCCCGAACUCAGAAGUUAAGCUCUUCAGCGUCGAUGAUACUUGGGCCUGAGCCCUGGAAAAGUAGAUCACCGC